Molecule: ribosomal RNA, 549 nt
Filed under: Penicillium sp. HCX-2014
Lineage: Eukaryota; Fungi; Ascomycota; Eurotiomycetes; Eurotiales; Aspergillaceae
Description: eukaryotic LSU rRNA
Rfam family: 5.8S ribosomal RNA (bases 179-331)
Source: RNAcentral
UACCGAGUGAGGGCCCUCUGGGUCCAACCUCCCACCCGUGUUUAUUUUACCUUGUUGCUUCGGCGGGCCCGCCUUAACUGGCCGCCGGGGGGCUUACGCCCCCGGGCCCGCGCCCGCCGAAGACACCCUCGAACUCUGUCUGAAGAUUGUAGUCUGAGUGAAAAUAUAAAUUAUUUAAAACUUUCAACAACGGAUCUCUUGGUUCCGGCAUCGAUGAAGAACGCAGCGAAAUGCGAUACGUAAUGUGAAUUGCAAAUUCAGUGAAUCAUCGAGUCUUUGAACGCACAUUGCGCCCCCUGGUAUUCCGGGGGGCAUGCCUGUCCGAGCGUCAUUUCUGCCCUCAAGCACGGCUUGUGUGUUGGGCCCCGUCCUCCGAUCCCGGGGGACGGGCCCGAAAGGCAGCGGCGGCACCGCGUCCGGUCCUCGAGCGUAUGGGGCUUUGUCACCCGCUCUGUAGGCCCGGCCGGCGCUUGCCGAUCAACCCAAAUUUUUAUCCAGGUUGACCUCGGAUCAGGUAGGGAUACCCGCUGAACUUAAGCAUAUCAAUAA